GGGAACAGCAGCAACAUGGGCCUCGCUUCCUGCCGGCGCGGCCCGGGCUGCUGCUGUU
MicroRNA precursor from Homo sapiens (human), 58 nucleotides. It matches the Rfam family "mir-1538 microRNA precursor family". The record is from Rfam. NCBI's taxonomy places the organism in Eukaryota, Metazoa, Chordata, Mammalia, Primates, Hominidae.